UGGGGGCUCUGAGCUCGGGGUGAUCUGUGCAGGUAGGUUGGGGUGGAGGUCUCUAGGGCUCCUGGGUGACACGAUGCCGAACUGUGGGUUUAUAUAGUCAGAAGCCACCCCGCCUCCCGACCAAAGUAUUCCCAGCUGUGGGGUCAGGUCAAGCUGGGGGAAUGAAGGAGGGGGAGAGAGCAGAGAGAAGGCCAAGGCAGUUGCAGCCAGGAAUAGCUCUAGGGGGAGGGGCCUUGAUAGCCCCCUGAGGAGUCAGCUUCUGGGCCGCCCCUGGUAAGCACUGAAGAUCCUUUGGCCCCCGAGUGCUCCAGCUCUGAGGGUACCCAAGAGGUGAGCCUGGAGGACAUUUGGUCCUGGGAGAAGGCAUCGUGUCCCAGGAAAAUUGUCCCUCAUAUGUCCACCCAAGAACCUUGCAAUGAACUCAGUGUUCUAGUCAAACUGGACUUAGAGCUCUUCCCCAAACUCAAGUUUCCUCCUUCCACCUCCCACGACUGGGCAGUCACACAAAUCUUCCCUCAUGAUUGGAAUAUUUUCCCUCCUCGACCCUACACCUUAUGAAAAUGUGAGCUUCUCCCACUGAUGAAGAACAGCAGAGAGGGGAUGGAUUCAAGGCACAGAAAGAGAUGCACAUUUGGGGGCAUGGACAAUAUGGGGAUUUUCUUUUGCUUUUGCUUUACAUGCAUUUUUUCAUUUUUGUUACAAAGGUUUUCUUUUUAUUUACUUAUUUUUUCAGUAGGACAGAGGAUUUGGGAGGGGAAAAUGAAUGCUUGAUAACUGAAAAAUAAUGAAAUUUCAUUUGAAAAAUCCAUAUUGGGGUGGCUAGGUGGUGCAGUGGAUAAAGCACCAGCCCUGGAUUCAGGAGGACCUGAGUUCAAAUCUGGCCUCAAACACUUGACACUUACUAGCUGUGUGACCCUGGGCAAGUCACUUAACCCUCAUUGCCCCACAAAAAAGAAAAGAAAAGAAAAGGAAAAAGAAAAAAAUCCCUACUAUAAUACACUUUUAAAAAGGGAUGUAGCUCUUCAGUGACUACAUCAAUGUAAACAGAAAGGACCACACCACAAGACAUCACAAAAUAACUGAAGAUGAUUGCUGGGAAAUGAUGAAGAAGAAAGAAGAGAUGUGAGAAAACAUACCCCUGCCCAACCUUCUUUGCAAAUGUAUCAGGGUGGGGGAGAUGGAUGGUAUGGAAUGUAUAUAAUAGAUUUUUUUUCUAUGUAUGUAUCGGUUUGGCUGAUUGUCCCCCUUCCUCUUUGUUAUUCUUAAAAAAAAAAUCUUUAUUAUGAGUGAUGGCUCUCUGAGGAGAGAGAGAGGGAGGGAUGGGGGAGGAAUCUGGGCCACAUUAAAAUAAAAGAUUAAAAAAAGA
This is a long non-coding RNA of Dromiciops gliroides (monito del monte), 1366 nucleotides long. RefSeq lists it as uncharacterized. Lineage: Eukaryota; Metazoa; Chordata; Mammalia; Microbiotheria; Microbiotheriidae. The record is from RefSeq and is a predicted model, not a curated record. The transcript has 3 exons.